UUUAUUGGAGAGUUUGAUCCUGGCUCAGGAUGAACGCUGGCGGCGUGCCUAAUACAUGCAAGUCGAGCGAAUGGAUUAAGAGCUUGCUCUUAUGAAGUUAGCGGCGGACGGGUGAGUAACACGUGGGUAACCUGCCCAUAAGACUGGGAUAACUCCGGGAAACCGGGGCUAAUACCGGAUAACAUUUUGAACCGCAUGGUUCGAAAUUGAAAGGUGGCUUCGGCUGCCACUUAUGGAUGGACCCGCGUCGCAUUAGCUAGUUGGUGAGGUAACGGCUCACCAAGGCAAUGAUGCGUAGCCGACCUGAGAGGGUGAUCGGCCACACUGGGACUGAGACACGGCCCAGACUCCUACGGGAGGCAGCAGUAGGGAAUCUUCCGCAAUGGACGAAAGUCUGACGGAGCAACGCCGCGUGAGUGAUGAAGGCUUUCGGGUCGUAAAACUCUGUUGUUAGGGAAGAACAAGUGCUAGUUGAA
This 476-nucleotide ribosomal RNA is filed under the name Bacillus anthracis (anthrax bacterium). Its description in RNAcentral is "bacterial SSU rRNA". It matches the Rfam family "Bacterial small subunit ribosomal RNA", at positions 1 to 464 of the family's 1533-position model. Lineage: Bacteria; Bacillati; Bacillota; Bacilli; Caryophanales; Bacillaceae. The record is from RNAcentral.